CUACGGGAUGCAGCAGUGGGGAAUAUUGCACAAUGGGCGCAAGCCUGAUGCAGCCAUGCCGCGUGUAUGAAGAAGGCCUUCGGGUUGUAAAGUACUCUCAGCGGGGAGGAAGGGAGUAAAGUUAAUACCUUUGCUCAUUGACGUUACCCGCAGAAGAAGCACCGGCUAACUCCGUGCCAGCAGCCGCGGUAAUACGGAGGGUGCAAGCGUUAAUCGGAAUUACUGGGCGUAAAGCGCACGCAGGCGGUGUGUUAGGUCAGAUGUGAAAUCCCCGGGCUCAACCUGGGAACUGCAUCUGAUACUGGCAAGCUUGAGUCUCGUAGAGGGGGGUAGAAUUCCAGGUGGAGCGGUGAAAUGCGUAGAGAUCUGGAGGAAUACCGGUGGCGAAGACGGCCCCCUGGACGAAGACUGACGCUCAGGUGCGAAAGCGUGGGGAGCAAACAGGAUUAGAUACCCUAGUAGUC
This 464-nucleotide ribosomal RNA is filed under the name uncultured bacterium. RNAcentral's name for it is "partial 16S ribosomal RNA". It matches the Rfam family "Bacterial small subunit ribosomal RNA", at positions 339 to 795 of the family's 1533-position model. The record is from RNAcentral.